This is a non-coding RNA of Chlorocebus sabaeus (green monkey), 1544 nucleotides long. The record is from RefSeq and is a predicted model, not a curated record. NCBI's taxonomy places the organism in Eukaryota, Metazoa, Chordata, Mammalia, Primates, Cercopithecidae.
GUGGUUUGUUAGGCAGCAGUCAAUCAUUUGUUCUUAUGACAGGCAUUUGUUUGCUGGUUAGAUUGGAUGUAACCUGGGAUCACAUCAUCAUACAUACACAAUGUCAGAAAUGUGCCCAACAACAGGCACUUGGUCAUUUGGACUUAAUAAACCCAGCUUCAGAGAAUCCCUGUUUCCCAGUCACUGUCUCUCAACUUUCCUACACUGCCACCAAGUAUGAGCUAGCAUCUAUCCCUCUCACAUUCCUCACCCCUUUAAUUAAUCCCCUGUUUUUCAUGUAUCUCAUAAGUUUAUGGUAUAUUUCCUAGGACCUGAAAACAUAACCAACUGUCUUUCAUCUUAAAAAAAAAAAAUGCCCCUUUCCCUCAACCCAUUCAAGUGUCCACCUUAGAUUUCCAUACCAUCUCUUUCUCCUCUUUCUAGUCAAGUUUUUCCAAAGAGCUGUCUUCAUUUUCCCAUUUCCUAUUCACUCCUCUCUCUAUUUAUUAUGACCUGGCUUUAGAAUGGUCUCCCGCCAGCAUCACAGAGGAGCUCCACAUCACCUAACCAGAUGGAUUCACCCCUGCCUUGACCUCUCAGACACAACACCAGCAACAUGGCCACUCCUAGUGCCUUAAAACUAUCUCCCUUUUUAUGCUUCCCACCACACUCUGCUUUCUCCUUCCCACUCUGAUUGUCCCUUCUCUGUUCCCUUCCUGGCCUCCUAAGCACCUCAGCCAGCCUCUUAGGCACCAGUGUCCCCAGGGGUCUUCAGUGCUCCUCUUCUCAUCCCGGUCUACCUGCUCUGCUUUCAAGUUUGCAGGCUCUCUCAAGCUUUUACUUAAAGGUUUUCCUAAAGUCUCACUCUGUCACCCAGGCUGGAGUGCAGUGGCAUGAUCUCAGCUCACUGCAACCUCCGCCUCCUGGGUUCAAGCAAUUCUUGUGCCUCAGCCUCCUGACUAGCUGGGAUUACAGGCACAAUCCAGACAAGACAUCUCAGCACUGCUUCCAGACCUCUGCUUGAAGGUGGGAUUCUUCAGUCUCCUGGACAUUCUUAGAGUCUGGCUUUACACCAGCUCUCCUUUGCACAAUGGCAACACCAGCAGUAUCUGCCCAUGUGCAAGAGAGUCCCCACAACAGCCCAAUAGAGAAAUGGAGGAGUUUGCAGGUCCAUGUGACACUCUGUCACAAUUGUCUUUUACCACUUAGGAUGAUGUAAUCACUGUUCUCUAGCUCUCUUUUUUUUUUUUUUGAGACAGUCUCACUGUCACCCAGGCCGGAGUGCAGUGGUGUGAUCUUGGCUCACUGCAACCUCCACCUCCCAGGUUCAAGUGAUUCUCCUGCCUCAGCCUCCUGAGUAGCUGGGAUUCCACCUAGUACAUCUCCAGCCUACAGAGACAGGAGUCUCGCUCUGUCGCCCAGGCUGGAGUGCAGUGGUGCGAUCUCAGCUCACUGCAACCUCCACUUCCCCAGUUCCAGGUUGAAGCAAUUCUCCAGCCUCAGCCUCCCAGGUAGCUGGGAUUACAGGCCAUAGUCUGCUUUAAGAAUAAUAAUAAUAAUAAUAA